This 695-nucleotide ribosomal RNA is filed under the name uncultured bacterium. RNAcentral describes it as "bacterial SSU rRNA". It matches the Rfam family "Bacterial small subunit ribosomal RNA", at positions 32 to 715 of the family's 1533-position model. The record is from RNAcentral.
AACGCUAGCUACAGGCUUAACACAUGCAAGUCGAGGGGCAGCAUUUUAGUUUGCUUGCAAACUGAAGAUGGCGACCGGCGCACGGGUGAGUAACACGUAUCCAACCUGCCGAUAACUCUGGAAUAGCCUUUCGAAAGAAAGAUUAAUACCGGAUGGCAUACGAAUAUCGCAUGAUAUUUUUAUUAAAGAAUUUCGGUUAUCGAUGGGGAUGCGUUCCAUUAGUUUGUUGGCGGGGUAACGGCCCACCAAGACAACGAUGGAUAGGGGUUCUGAGAGGAAGGUCCCCCACAUUGGAACUGAGACACGGUCCAAACUCCUACGGGAGGCAGCAGUGAGGAAUAUUGGUCAAUGGGCGAGAGCCUGAACCAGCCAAGUAGCGUGAAGGAUGAAGGCUCUAUGGGUCGUAAACUUCUUUUAUAUGGGAAUAAAGUUUUCCACGUGUGGAAUUUUGUAUGUACCAUAUGAAUAAGGAUCGGCUAACUCCGUGCCAGCAGCCGCGGUAAUACGGAGGAUCCGAGCGUUAUCCGGAUUUAUUGGGUUUAAAGGGAGCGUAGGUGGAUUGUUAAGUCAGUUGUGAAAGUUUGCGGCUCAACCGUAAAAUUGCAGUUGAAACUGGCAGUCUUGAGUACAGUAGAGGUGGGCGGAAUUCGUGGUGUAGCGGUGAAAUGCUUAGAUAUCACGAAGAACUCCGAUUG